AGUGAACGCUGGCGGUAGGCCUAACACAUGCAAGUCGAACGGCAGCACAGUAAGAGCUUGCUCUUACGGGUGGCGAGUGGCGGACGGGUGAGGAAUACAUCGGAAUCUACUUUUUCGUGGGGGAUAACGUAGGGAAACUUACGCUAAUACCGCAUACGACCUACGGGUGAAAGCAGGGGAUCUUCGGACCUUGCGCGAUUGAAUGAGCCGAUGUCGGAUUAGCUAGUUGGCGGGGUAAAGGCCCACCAAGGCGACGAUCCGUAGCUGGUCUGAGAGGAUGAUCAGCCACACUGGAACUGAGACAAGGUCCAGACUCCUACGGGAGGCAGCAGUGGGGAAUAUUGGACAAUGGGCGCAAGCCUGAUCCAGCCAUACCGCGUGGGUGAAGAAGGCCUUCGGGUUGUAAAGCCCUUUUGGUGGGAAAGAAAAGCAGCAGGUUAAUACCCCGCUGUUCUGACGGUACCCAAAGAAUAAGCACCGGCUAACUCCGUG
This 492-nucleotide ribosomal RNA is filed under the name uncultured bacterium. RNAcentral describes it as "partial 16S ribosomal RNA". It matches the Rfam family "Bacterial small subunit ribosomal RNA", at positions 29 to 507 of the family's 1533-position model. The record is from RNAcentral.